CAGCUGCGAUAAGUAAUGUGAAUUGCAGAACUCAGCGAAUCAUCGAAUCUUUGAACGCAAAUGGCGCCCCCUGGUUCUCCAGGGAGCAUGUCUGUCUGAGCGUCAUGU
This 108-nucleotide ribosomal RNA is filed under the name Pelagia noctiluca. RNAcentral's name for it is "partial 5.8S ribosomal RNA". It matches the Rfam family "5.8S ribosomal RNA", at positions 50 to 154 of the family's 154-position model. Rfam says of the family: 5.8S ribosomal RNA (5.8S rRNA) is a component of the large subunit of the eukaryotic ribosome. It is transcribed by RNA polymerase I as part of the 45S precursor that also contains 18S and 28S rRNA. Lineage: Eukaryota; Metazoa; Cnidaria; Scyphozoa; Semaeostomeae; Pelagiidae. The record is from RNAcentral.